This 744-nucleotide ribosomal RNA is filed under the name uncultured bacterium. RNAcentral describes it as "bacterial SSU rRNA". It matches the Rfam family "Bacterial small subunit ribosomal RNA", at positions 66 to 859 of the family's 1533-position model. The record is from RNAcentral.
ACGCCCCUUCGGGGGAGUGGCGGACGGGUGAGUAACGCGUGGGAACGUGCCCUUUGGUUCGGAACAACACAGGGAAACUUGUGCUAAUACCGAAUGUGCCCUUCGGGGGAAAGAUUUAUCGCCAUUGGAGCGGCCCGCGUUGGAUUAGCUAGUUGGUGGGGUAAAGGCCCACCAAGGCUACGAUCCAUAGCUGGUCUGAGAGGAUGAUCAGCCACACUGGGACUGAGACACGGCCCAGACUCCUACGGGAGGCAGCAGUAGGGAAUCUUGCGCAAUGGGCGAAAGCCUGACGCAGCCAUGCCGCGUGAAUGAUGAAGGUCUUAGGAUUGUAAGAUUCUUUCACCGGGGAAGAUAAUGACGGUACCCGGAGAAGAAGCCCCGGCUAACUUCGUGCCAGCAGCCGCGGUAAUACGAAGGGGGCUAGCGUUGCUCGGAAUUACUGGGCGUAAAGGGCGCGUAGGCGGACAGUUUAGUCAGAGGUGAAAGCCCAGGGCUCAACCUUGGAAUUGCCUUUGAUACUGGCUGUCUUGAGUUCGGGAGAGGUGAGUGGAAUGCCGAGUGUAGAGGUGAAAUUCGUAGAUAUUCGGCGGAACACCAGUGGCGAAGGCGACUCACUGGCCCGAUACUGACGCUGAGGCGCGAAAGCGUGGGGAGCAAACAGGAUUAGAUGCCCUGGUAGUCCACGCUGUAAACGAUGAGUGCUAGUUGUCGGCAUGCAUGCAUGUCGGUGACGCAGCUAACGCA